Long non-coding RNA from Gadus morhua (Atlantic cod), 629 nucleotides. RefSeq lists it as uncharacterized. The record is from RefSeq and is a predicted model, not a curated record. The transcript has 3 exons. NCBI's taxonomy places the organism in Eukaryota, Metazoa, Chordata, Actinopteri, Gadiformes, Gadidae.
AGAAUAAUUAAUCUUCCUUUUUUUUUACCGGUAAAUAUCUUUUUUCUUGUUUAAAGAAAAUGGCACAUUUCAUGCAGUGGAAGACCCAAAUUCUGAAAGUAACAAUCCUUUUUAAACUAUUUGUUAUAUUGUAUAGUUGUAUAGACAAUUUGAAUUAACUGUUUAUAAUUGAAUAUAAACCUGCAGAAAAAAAGACGGUAAAGAAAUAUAUACAUAUAGGCCUAAACAAUUAAAUCUCAUUAAUUUCCAUUUUAAAUUUAAAUUAAAUUAAAUGAAUUGUACUGAGAUUCAGUUAGAGUUGGUUCAUAAGUAUAAUAUUGGUUCAAAUGUGGAUAAGAGAUGAUCAUAUCUUGACCCUCCCAGAACCCCGGCCAGUGAAGUGUGAGGGGAAUUGGAUCAUGGUCGGAGGACUCUUUGGUUCUGCGGUCAUCAUCCUGGUUCUUGUAAUUGGCGGACUCGUUUUUAGAACAUCAACGUAAACUUCAAAAAGAUGCUACAAAUCAACCUCAAAUACAGGAAAGCCAGGGUCAGGAGCUAGAUGAAGUUAGCUACUCUAUGUUGAGUUUCCGUCAGAAGAACAGAAGAGGGGGGCCCAGACCUAAGGACCUAGACACGGCCAUUGUGUACGC